Molecule: long non-coding RNA, 743 nt
Organism: Oncorhynchus keta (chum salmon)
Lineage: Eukaryota; Metazoa; Chordata; Actinopteri; Salmoniformes; Salmonidae
Exons: 6
Source: RefSeq, a predicted model, not a curated record
UUGGUGUCUAGUAGUUUGGGUGGGUGGGGUGGUGUCUAGUGGUUUGGGUGGGUGGGUUGGUGUCUAGUGGUCUGGUGGGGGGGUUGGUGUCUAGUGAUUUGGGUGGGUGGGGGGUUGGUGUCUAGUGAUUUGGGUGGGUGGGGUUGGUGUCUAGUAGUUUGGGUGGGUGUCUAGUGGUUUGGGUGGGUGUCUAGUGGUUUGGGUGGGGGGGUUGGUGUUGGUACCCAGUUGGUUCUGUAGGUCUACGUACCCAGUUGGUUCUGUAGGUCUACGUACCCAGUUGGUUCUGUAGGUCUACGUACUGCUAGGGUUCUACGUACCCAGUUGGUUCUGUAGGUCUACGUACCCAGUUGGUUCUGUAGGUCUACGUACCCAGUUGGUUCUGUAGGUCUACGUACUGCUAGGGUUCUACGUACCCAGUUGGUUCUGUAGGUCUACGUACCCAGUUGGUUCUGUAGGUCUACGUACCCAGUUGGUUCUGUAGGUCUACGUACCCAGUUGGUUCUGUAGGUCUACGUACCCAGUUGGUUCUGUAGGUCUACGUACCCAGUUGGUUCUGUAGGUCUACGUACCCAGUUGGUUCUGUAGGUCUACGUACCCAGUUGGUUCUGUAGAUCUACGUACUGCUAGGGUUCUACGUACCCAGUUGGUUCUGUAGGUCUACGUACCCAGUUGGUUCUGUAGGUCUACGUACCCAGUUGGUUCUGUAGAUCUACGUACCCAGUUGGUUCUGUAGAUCUACG